This 264-nucleotide ribosomal RNA is filed under the name uncultured Glomeromycotina. RNAcentral's name for it is "partial 18S ribosomal RNA". It matches the Rfam family "Eukaryotic small subunit ribosomal RNA", at positions 619 to 888 of the family's 1831-position model. The record is from RNAcentral. Lineage: Eukaryota; Fungi; Glomeromycota.
UUAAAAAGCUCGUAGUUGAAUUUCGGGAUUAGUACGCUGGUCGUGCCUUCGGUACGUACUGGUGUUACUGAUUUCUACCUUCUGACGAACCAUCAUGUCAUUAAUUUGGUGUGGUGGGGAAUCAGGACUGUUACUUUGAAAAAAUUAGAGUGUUUAAAGCAGGCUCGCGCUUGAAUACAUUAGCAUGGAAUAAUGAAAUAGGACGUUGAUCCUAUUUUGUUGGUUUCUAGGAUUGACGUAAUGAUUAAUAGGGAUAGUUGGGGG